UUGACCUCGGAUCAGGCAGGGGUACC
Molecule: ribosomal RNA, 26 nt
Filed under: Roccella montagnei
Lineage: Eukaryota; Fungi; Ascomycota; Arthoniomycetes; Arthoniales; Roccellaceae
Description: partial large subunit ribosomal RNA
Source: RNAcentral